GAGGAUGUGGCUCAGCGGUAGAAGCGGCAGAUUGCAAAUCUGUAGGUCCCCGGUUCGAUCCCGGGCAUUCUCU
RNAcentral lists this transfer RNA (73 nucleotides) under Trichosporon asahii var. asahii CBS 8904. RNAcentral describes it as "tRNA-Cys (GCA) (tRNA-Cys-GCA-2 1 to 4)". It matches the Rfam family "tRNA". From Rfam's summary of the family: Transfer RNA (tRNA) molecules are approximately 80 nucleotides in length. Their secondary structure includes four short double-helical elements and three loops (D, anti-codon, and T loops). Further hydrogen bonds mediate the characteristic L-shaped molecular structure. tRNAs have two regions of fundamental functional importance: the anti-codon, which is responsible for specific mRNA codon recognition, and the 3' end, to which the tRNAs corresponding amino acid is attached (by aminoacyl-tRNA synthetases). tRNAs cope with the degeneracy of the genetic code in two manners: having more than one tRNA (with a specific anti-codon) for a particular amino acid; and 'wobble' base-pairing, i.e. permitting non-standard base-pairing at the 3rd anti-codon position. Lineage: Eukaryota; Fungi; Basidiomycota; Tremellomycetes; Trichosporonales; Trichosporonaceae. The record is from RNAcentral.